AUGACAUGAAUAAAAAGAUUAACUUCUAUAGAAAUUUUUUAAAGGUAUUUCAAAGGUAUUUCUUGAUCUCCAUUACGACACAGACGACGGCUUCGAAGUUUUUCAAUUCCAGCUCUAUUCCCUCUCUUCCGUUCCACCUCAUCAACAAAAGAUUUUCGGAGCCGAACAAGAUACUCCAGUGGUCAAUGACUCUGAUCUCGUCGCCAUUUCUGACAAACUACGACUAGUCUCGGUCAACGACUCCGAACCGGAACCAAGCGCUGCCGAUUUGUUGAAAUCCGAUGAGGAAUUGGCCAGACUCUUGCAGGCAGAGGAGGAAGCGCUAAUGUUGCAGUAGUAUGUGGCAAGCCAAAAUCCUCGAGAAUUUGAUAGUGGAGUACGGCCCUACUAGUCAAGUCCUCAUGUUGCAGCAGUAUGGGCUAUAUUUUUUUGCGGAAUAUGAUAUUAAAUGCAUAAUUGACUUUCAUGCUGUUCUUGGUUCCCAGAAUGGGAUGGAGCAUAGUGCAAGCAGAGAUGGAUUUACAGGCUAGCCAACUUCUCCUAAUUACAUUUCCGACUCAUUAUAUGUUAUUGAAUUUUUAGUUUCUAGGUAUGUUUUAAAUGCGCAAACAUAUUCUAAGAUUGUUCGUAUCAUCUAAUAUCUAAUAACUAAUUCUUCUAAAUGCGCACACAUCUUAACUAUGGUUUUUCCUUCUACAAUGCAACCUAUUCAAACUAUUGAAAUAUAAUUCUUUUGAUAUAAAGGUGGAUGAAUUGGACAAAGCAAUUUUUAUAGCCUCUAAAGAUCCUUCUUUGUAUGGCAUUGAUGAAGUGGAGGUUAAAAACCAGAGGAAGUGGACCAGUGAUACUCGCACCCAGGUGAGCACAACAAAGAAAGCAGUGCAACCUGAAAAAGGCUUAAACAAUGCUAGUCUAAAUGGGAUGCACAAGGAAUUAAUGAGGCUUCCUAGAAUGAUUGAUAUCAAAAAGUGUUGUAGAAUGAUUGAGCUUACUCAAGGCUGUUACGACAUGACAUGUUGGCUUACUAAACAGAAAGUGCUAAGCAAAGGGACUUGCAGACAAGUGGAUGAGGACUGUAAGUUGAAUCACGGUUAUAUGAUAACAUUAAUGUUUUCCGGAACCCAAAUUUCAUGAAAGUUUUGCAUUUUUUUUUUAAAUUAACUUAGUCAUCAUCAGUUAUCACAAAUUUCUUUUGUUGCUUCAAUCUUAACUAUCCAUGUGUUUUACUGAUGUGUUUGUUCAUUAGUUAUUACCACAUAAGGUUCAUGAAUAACUUUAUCUUUGGAAUUCACUGAACAAGCAGCUUGAGCUCAAUUUUUGGUGGCAUCUUUGUGUUGCCUAAGGAAAUUGCUAUAUAUGCUUCCACUCUAGGGAUAACACAAAUUCAAGCACACCAAAGAUCACCUUUGUUCUAGGAGAUGUGGAUUUGAAGACAUUAUUGGCUCUUUUGGCUUUCAUGGUGUGCUACUCUUGGUUUUGCUAAUCCUUUUCCAAAGAUUCCUUUUUUUUAUAUUAUCUAUUCUCACUGAGUCACCUACUGCUAUGUAAAUGUGUAUUAUUUACUGCUAAUUUAUUCCAUUCUCCUUUACCCGUUACUUUUCUACUUUUCUCCCUUUCUUUAGUUUGGGGCUUUUCCUUUAAAAUAGUGGAGUAAAAGAAAACAUCUUUCCAGGUGUUGGAAAACUUGGUAGAAAAUUCAUUGCCUUAUCUCAGGUAUAGCUAUAAAAAGUACAGGGUUCGGUAAGCCUUUUCAUCCCUUGGACAUGGACUAUGCUGGGUUUAUUUUGUUAACCAUGUUACCUGUUACCAAUAUACAAUAGCUAAUUUAUCUUUUAUUUCUCAAGACACAAGAAGAAUGAGAAAGGAGAAGCAAGAGAAAAGUUCCAAUUUACUUCUAGAGUACAAAAAGAAUACCUGAAGCCCCUCUUACUCUGCUAGCAUUGGUGAGGAGCUUGAAGAUGGGCUAUUUGAUGAUUUCUUAGAAUUGGCAUUGCAGUUUGGAAUGAUUUUGAUGUUUGCUUGCGCAUUCCCACCUGCAUUUGCUUUUGCUGCUGUGAACAACCUUAUGGAGAUCAGGACAGAUGCAUUGAAGCUGCUAGUAAUUUUGAGGCGGCAUGUUCCUCGUGCCGCUGCAACAGUAGGAGUCUGGCUUAACAUAUUUCAGUUUCUUAUACUGAUGUCUAUAUGCACCAACUGUGCUAUUUUAGCAUGGCUAUAUGAUGAGGAGGGAAAAUGGAAAAUAGAGCCUGGACUUGCAACAAUUUUAAUCAUGGAGCAUGUCCUCUUGUUGACUAAGUUUGGUUUCUCUCGCUUCUUUCCUGAGGUGAUUGUUUUGCUUCCCAAAAGUAAGUUGUUUGGGCCACAAGAGCAAAAUCUACGUUCUCAAGGUGGAAGCGGCAAUAUGGUAAUUGUUGUCCUUUGCAGACAUGGAAUUUUGUUUGAGCAUAUCAUAAUUGUCCUUACCCAGAUUUUCAAGAGUGGACCACUUUUCAUAUCUUCCAAAGGUUUAUUGGAAUUCAAAUCCCACAUGCAUGCCUCCUUCCUUGAGAUACUCAAGAUACCUUGCAAAUUCAGACCUUGCUGUUGUUUUCUUUUUCCAUCGAAGAGCCAAGAAGCUUAGAAGUGGGUGACUCUUCUUAUCCCUAUUAUUAUCACUGACCUUCUUUGUGGGGUUUCUCUUUUGAUUGAUGUCCCCAUAGUUGGAAUCCAGAGCCAUUUUUCUUGAAGAAUUGGAUCCAUGAGAAGGCAAACUAGUGCUCCUCUUGAACCCCUCAUGCUAAAGUGCAGUAGUGGCAGAUUCUUUACCUAAUAUUUCAUACCCCCUCCAAGUAGUCAUUGAUCUAAAGGUUGGAUCUUGUUGUGUGUGAAAGACAAGAUUUUGAAUCUUUGUUGAUAUAUUGAGUGUAAUUAAAGAGGUGGAGGAAAAGGGUUGCUGGGGAUUAUAGAUGAGAUAAAUUGGAGGAUAGCACAACAUAGUGUGGGGCUUUAGAUAUGCAUCUUUGGGGUCAAGUUUGGUUAUGUAGUAGACUUUGGUCCUUCAUGUGUUUCUCAAUUAUUUACUAAUAAUGGUUACUGCACCGUGUGAUUUGGAACCAUUCAGUUUUUGCAACUUUUGUUGACUA
This is a long non-coding RNA of Glycine soja, 3122 nucleotides long. RefSeq lists it as uncharacterized. The record is from RefSeq and is a predicted model, not a curated record. The transcript is spliced from 13 exons. NCBI's taxonomy places the organism in Eukaryota, Viridiplantae, Streptophyta, Magnoliopsida, Fabales, Fabaceae.